RNAcentral lists this ribosomal RNA (310 nucleotides) under uncultured Dothideomycetes. Its description in RNAcentral is "SSU rRNA". It matches the Rfam family "Eukaryotic small subunit ribosomal RNA", at positions 39 to 352 of the family's 1831-position model. The record is from RNAcentral. Lineage: Eukaryota; Fungi; Ascomycota; Dothideomycetes.
AAAGAUUAAGCCAUGCAUGUCUAAGUAUAAGCAAUCUAUACAGUGAAACUGCGAAUGGCUCAUUAAAUCAGUUAUCGUUUAUUUGAUAGUACCUUACUACUUGGAUAACCGUGGUAAUUCUAGAGCUAAUACAUGCUAAAAACCCCGACUUCGGAAGGGGUGUAUUUAUUAGAUAAAAAACCAAUGCUCUUCGGGGCUCCUUGGUGAUUCAUAAUAACUUAACGAAUCGCAUGGCCUUGUGCCGGCGAUGGUUCAUUCAAAUUUCUGCCCUAUCAACUUUCGAUGGUAGGAUAGUGGCCUACCAUGGUUU